RNAcentral lists this ribosomal RNA (497 nucleotides) under uncultured bacterium. RNAcentral's name for it is "partial 16S ribosomal RNA". It matches the Rfam family "Bacterial small subunit ribosomal RNA", at positions 28 to 507 of the family's 1533-position model. The record is from RNAcentral.
GAUGAACGCUGGCGGCGUGCCUAAUACAUGCAAGUCGAGCGAACAGACGAGGAGCUUGCUCCUCUGACGUUAGCGGCGGACGGGUGAGUAACACGUGGAUAACCUACCUAUAAGACUGGGAUAACUUCGGGAAACCGGAGCUAAUACCGGAUAAUAUAUUGAACCGCAUGGUUCAAUAGUGAAAGACGGUUUUGCUGUCACUUAUAGAUGGAUCCGCGCCGCAUUAGCUAGUUGGUAAGGUAACGGCUUACCAAGGCAACGAUGCGUAGCCGACCUGAGAGGGUGAUCGGCCACACUGGAACUGAGACCCGGUCCAGACUCCUACGGGAGGAAGCAGUAGGGAAUCUUCCGCAAUGGGCGAAAGCCUGACGGAGCAACGCCGCGGGAGUGAUGAAGGUCUUCGGAUCGUAAAACUCUGUUAUUAGGGAAGAACAAAUGUGUAAGUAACUAUGCACGUCUUGACGGUACCUAAUCAGAAAGCCACGGCUAACUACGUG